Long non-coding RNA from Pongo pygmaeus (Bornean orangutan), 513 nucleotides. RefSeq lists it as uncharacterized. The record is from RefSeq and is a predicted model, not a curated record. NCBI's taxonomy places the organism in Eukaryota, Metazoa, Chordata, Mammalia, Primates, Hominidae. The transcript has 2 exons.
AGAUGGAGUUUUGCCCUUGUUGGCCAGGCUGGAGUGCAGUGGCACGAUCUCGGCUCACCAUAACCUCUGCUUCCCGGGUUCAAGUGAUUCUCCUGCCUCAGCGUCCCAAGUAGCUGGGAUUACAGAAUCUCACUCUGUUGCCCAGGCUGGAGUGCAUUGGUGUGAUCUCGGCUCAGUGCAACCUUUGCAGAGACAUGGAUGUAGCUGGAAGCCAUUAUCCUCAGCAAACUAACACAGGAACAAAAAACCAAACACCACGUGUUCUCACUAAUAUGUGGGAGAUGAAUGAUGAGAACACAUGGACACAGGGAGGGGAACAACACACACCAAGGCCUGUUGAGAGUGUAGUGGGAGGAAAAGCAUCAGGAUAAAUAGCUAAUACAUGUGGGGCUUAAUACCUAGGUGAUGGAUUGAUAGGUGCAGCAAACCACCAUGGCACAUGUUUACCUAUGUAACAAAACUGCACAUCCUGCAUAUGUAUUCCCAAACUUCAAAUAAAAUAAAAUAAUAAAA